This 462-nucleotide long non-coding RNA is filed under the name Zea mays. RNAcentral's name for it is "long non-coding RNA (ZMAY_LNC004993)". Lineage: Eukaryota; Viridiplantae; Streptophyta; Magnoliopsida; Poales; Poaceae. The record is from RNAcentral.
AGGUGCACAUGAUGGGAGUUUUACAUAUGUGGUAUGUAUUGGUACUAUGCUAUUCUUGUAUUGUUUUAUUAUAGUAGGUUUCUUUAAACCACUCAAUCAAAUUACUCUAUUUAUUUUUAGGAGCAAGAGGAUGAUGUCGAAAACAUUUCAUUUCCAAAAAGUUUGGUGGAGAGCAACUAGAUUAUCCUUUUGUAAGUUUGUAUUAUGCUUAGCUAGUUGAGUGGUUUUUUCUUUAAAAGUGUCCAUUCAAUACUUAUUUUAAGUUUACUUUGCAUUUGGAUCUAACUUGUUAUAUUUUUCUAUUGUGAUAUCUAUCAAAAUUAGAGUUGGAGACUUGGAGUAGGACUGAUGCUUUUUGUAAUGGAUUGUUGGAUGGAGUCUACAUGGCUGAACCUGAAUGGCCUGGACCUGAAUGGACAUCAUGGUCAAUUGGUCAUGGCUGAACCUGAAUGGACAUCAUGG